GAUGAACGCUGGCGGCGUGCCUAAUACAUGCAAGUCGAGCGAACAGACGAGGAGCUUGCUCCUCUGACGUUAGCGGCGGACGGGUGAGUAACACGUGGAUAACCUACCUAUAAGACUGGGAUAACUUCGGGAAACCGGAGCUAAUAACGGAUAAUAUAUUGAACCGCAUGGUUCAAUAGUGAAAGACGGUUUUGCUGUCACUUAUAGAUGGAUCCGCGCCGCAUUAGCUAGUUGGUGAGGUAACGGCUUACCAAGGCAACGAUGGGUAGCCGACCUGAGAGGGGGAGCGGCCGCGCUGGAACGAGAGGACGAUCAGGCAUCCUACGGGGGGGAGACGGAGGAGAUCUCCCCGGGAGGGCGAAGGCCUGACGAAUGGACGCCGGGCGAGUGAUGGAGGCAGCCGGGCCGUAUGACUCAUUAAUUAGGGAGGGAAGAAUGGCUAAGUAACUUGGGACGUCUUUGAGGGUACUGGGAGAAGAAGCACGGGCUACCUCCGG
This 497-nucleotide ribosomal RNA is filed under the name uncultured bacterium. RNAcentral describes it as "partial 16S ribosomal RNA". It matches the Rfam family "Bacterial small subunit ribosomal RNA", at positions 28 to 506 of the family's 1533-position model. The record is from RNAcentral.